Molecule: long non-coding RNA, 1291 nt
Organism: Serinus canaria (Common canary)
Lineage: Eukaryota; Metazoa; Chordata; Aves; Passeriformes; Fringillidae
Exons: 4
Source: RefSeq, a predicted model, not a curated record
UGUCGGUCAGCAAAGGGAUCAGGUCAGUUCUCUCUCCCCCUCCGGCUGUAGGCCGGGUGGGGGAGGGGAAAAGGCCACGAGGCGCCGUGAGCUAGGCCGGAGGCCUUGGAUCUUGGAGAGAGAAGAGAGAAAAGAGAUAAGAUGCGCCGGGCAGCUCCUGGAAGUUGGCCAAGAGUGAGAAGAGAGUCCGGCAUCUAUAGAGAUGAUUUUUAACUUUUUUCUUCACGAUGGAAACCUUCCAAGCAUUGAUCCUCCCGGAGGACAGAGAUAAGAACAAGAAGAAAUGGACAAGUGAAAUGAGAGAAAGGAAUGGGAAUUGAACAACAUGGAAGGAAAGAGAAAGGUGGAGACGUUCCCUUUUGCAGGAAACCCUCUAAAACAGCUGGCAGAAGUGAAGGCAAUUUCUUCAGUCAACACUCAGCAUCUUCACACAGCAUCUUUGGGUGAUCUGAGUCCUCUGCCCUGUGAUAGAAGAGGGGUCCUCAGGCAGUGCACAGUGCCUGGCAAAAAGGCACUGCAGCACCAUUGUCCCAGGGAAGCUGGGCUGAGGCAGGGUGUGACAGACACCUUGCAGAAACCACGUCUCAGAAGUCUCUGUUUUCAUUGUCUGGUACCCUGGAUGAAGGUCUCUCCAUGUGGUAUUGAUACAGCCAGCUCCUGCUCCUGGAAGUUUGUUUUACCUGCAGCUGCAGUAUUUUAGGGGAAUGUAUUUUAGGGAACUCUGCAUUUUAGAGGUAUAGUUGCUCUACCAGAAUGGAGUCAGACAGCAAGUUAUUUCACACAACCAUGCACAUGUCUAAAUACAUACUAAUCAUGAAGAUGGCCCUGCUAAACAUUAUGGCCCUGUUAUGGCUGAUGUACAAACACGUAUCAGCCUUAUCAUCCUCCUCUAACACCCAAACAGAAGAGAUGUCAAUAACUCUAUGGAAAGUCCAAGACAGAAAUUUUAUUCAGCACUGAUGACCAUAAAAAAUAAAAUCUCAUUCCUUUGUUGUUCAAAAUUUGAGAAGCAUAUUAAUGAGAUCCAGAGUUUGCUCUUUAUCUAUGCCAUCUUUUACUGUCAUUUUAGAUCAUGGAGCUCUCCAGUCUUGAAUGCACUUCACCAGAAAGCACCAGGAUGGAUCUCUAAUUUUUCUGUCCCUUUGGUAAAGUGCAAGAGAGAGGAACAGAGAGUUAGUGAACAGAUUUUUAAACCAGCCCUUCACAUUAAACACAAGUUUCUAGGGCUGUGCAUAAUAAGACCAUUUCUGAUUAGUGACAACCUCAUUAGAAUAAAACAGAGGUUCUUUUA